UACGAAGGGGGCUAGCGUUGUUCGGAAUUACUGGGCGUAAAGGGCGCGCAGGCGGCUCAUUUUGUCAGGCGUGAAAGCCCCGGGCUUAACCUGGGAACUGCGUUUGAUACGGAUGGGCUAGAGUUCGGGAGAGGAGAGUGGAAUUCCCAGUGUAGAGGUGAAAUUCGUAGAUAUUGGGAAGAACACCGGUGGCGAAGGCGGCUCUCUGGACCGAUACUGACGCUGAGGCGCGAAAGCGUGGGGAGCAAACAGG
RNAcentral lists this ribosomal RNA (253 nucleotides) under uncultured bacterium. Its description in RNAcentral is "partial 16S ribosomal RNA". It matches the Rfam family "Bacterial small subunit ribosomal RNA", at positions 524 to 776 of the family's 1533-position model. The record is from RNAcentral.